Molecule: long non-coding RNA, 1362 nt
Organism: Sander lucioperca (pikeperch)
Lineage: Eukaryota; Metazoa; Chordata; Actinopteri; Perciformes; Percidae
Exons: 2
Source: RefSeq, a predicted model, not a curated record
GACAAUAAAGAUGAUUAAAUAAAAAUGAUGGUAUUGUGUUUUGCAUUAUUUUUAGUUAGACAUUAUCUGCAACUGAAGUAGUUUGAUGUGCCUCACUAAGCUUGUGCACCACAGCCGAGGUAGAAAUACAGUUAAAUAUUCCAAGUGAAUUGUAUGUUAUACAACAUGAGUUGUGUUUUAAAGGAGAACUCAAACUAUUGUACACAUCACAGUCUGUUUUAACUUAAUUUGUUAGUAAGUGCACUUACUGAUGUUACCAGGCAACAUCUGAGAUGUUGCUAACAAAAUGGCACAGGAAAUGUCUGCUCAUCACUCUCUGUAUUUAGUGUUUGGGUAAACACAAAGAGUACUCCAAUGAUUUAGAAUUGAAGUUCUAUAACAUGGUCAGACUCGCAAUGGAAGGUAAAACAAAAAAAGUAUCAAAAUCGAUGCAUAACGUCUUUAUUCCAAACAUUUUUUUCCUUGUUAAAAUCUGAUGGCUACAUUACCCACAUUGCAACGCGACUGCCGACAGUUUGGUCGGAGAUUCAGGUGUGUUGUGCUAGUAGCGGCUAAUGUAGCCUUGAGCCGCUAGCCUCAUGCAGAGAUGAGGAGCAGCUACAGAGAUCUGGUAAGUAUACUUCUUUCUUACGCCACACCUCCCAGAUUGUUUUUUAUUUUCAAACUUGUAAUCUUCAGCCCGAACGGACGCUGACUCAAGUGACAUCACUUGAGGUAAUUUAUCACAAUUCACGCAGCUCCUUUUGGAAUCACAAAUGGCUUUAUACAAGUUUUUUUCCACAUAUGCAGUAGUACUCCCCAAGACGUGUAAACAGACUUUGAUGUGAAUAUCAGUGGAGUUCUGCUUUAUGGACUUUCAUACCUGGUGACAAAAGUGCAUAAAACUUAAGUUGUCAAGAAAUGAUGAUUAAGUAGUUGUUUUUGCCUGUAUUCUGGAAUUGUUAUUAAUUGAUCGAUGCACUUUUCCCUUACUAAAUGCUGCCUUUUUUGAUAGCCAAGAGCCAAUAACUUCAUGCAAGGGCCAUCACGCCCGUCACAUCACCACUGCACCACCUGUGUGAUGUUUCCCGUUAUCGCCUGAGCACAUUAACAGCCUGUCAACCCCACAUAGGCAAUUUACACCAGAGGCCAGAUCCAACACCAAUCUGUGAGUCACCACAAGUGUCUGAAUCAAAGCCACAUUGGACUCUUCUGGUAACAAGAAGACAGACAUUAUUUUAUGUCUAGAUAACUCAACAGAAAUGCUGCAGUAAUUGACAGUCUACAUACACACGGCUGUUUCAGCGGACUACUCGUUUCACUAUAACCAACUACUUAGACUGAUUACAUACUGACGAGUUUGACGACUGCUGAGUGAAUAGG